AACGUAGGGGGCGAGCGUUAUCCGGAAUUACUGGGCGUAAAGCGCGUGCAGGCGGCUUGGUAGGUUGGACGUGAAAGCUCCUGGCUUAACUGGGAGAGGUCGUUCAAAACCGCCAGGCUUGAGGACGGAAGAGGGGAGUGGAAUUCCCGGUGUAGUGGUGGAAUGCGUAGAUAUCGGGAGGAACACCUGUGGCGAAAGCGGCUCCCUAGUCCGUAUCUGACGCUCAGACGCGAAAGCGUGGGGAGCGAACGGG
Molecule: ribosomal RNA, 253 nt
Filed under: uncultured bacterium
Lineage: Bacteria
Description: partial 16S ribosomal RNA
Rfam family: Bacterial small subunit ribosomal RNA
Source: RNAcentral